GGUUGUAUAGUGUAGCGGUUAGCACCUCGGAUUCUGAUGCCGCAUCAGAGGUUUCCGGUAACCCCGGUUCGAUUCCGGGUACGACCU
Molecule: non-coding RNA, 87 nt
Organism: Peltaster fructicola
Lineage: Eukaryota; Fungi; Ascomycota; Dothideomycetes
Source: the annotation of a GenBank genome assembly